Molecule: ribosomal RNA, 330 nt
Filed under: uncultured Chloroflexota bacterium
Lineage: Bacteria; Bacillati; Chloroflexota
Description: bacterial SSU rRNA
Rfam family: Bacterial small subunit ribosomal RNA
Source: RNAcentral
GAUGAACGCUGGCGGCGUGCCUAAUACAUGCAAGUCGAACGAGGUGCUCAAGUAGCAAUACGAGAGUAUCCUAGUGGCGAACGGGUGAGUAACGCGUUGGUGACCUGCCCCAAAGUGUGGGAUAACAGUUCGAAAGGACUGCUAAUACCUCAUGUGGUCUUCGGGUUUAGAAGCCGAUGACUAAAGGAGUAAUCCGCUUUGGGAGGGACCUGCGUCCCAUCAGCUAGUUGGUAGGGUAACGGCUUACCAAGGCUACGACGGGUAGGGGACCUGAGAGGGUGGCCCCCCACAAUGGAACUGAAACACGGUCCAUACACCUACGGGAGGCAG